RNAcentral lists this long non-coding RNA (2231 nucleotides) under Pan troglodytes (chimpanzee). RNAcentral describes it as "long non-coding RNA NONPTRT008256". The record is from RNAcentral. Lineage: Eukaryota; Metazoa; Chordata; Mammalia; Primates; Hominidae.
AAUAAUUCAGAGUGAGAGGAAACAGAGAUUCUAGGCAGCCCUCAGGGAAGCUGAGGAGGUGGCACCCUGCCUCCGGGUCCCUCAGAAUGUCCCAUCUCCCUGUCAGUAUCAGUGUCCCAGAUAAUCUUCUUCUGAUUGGGACAUUUCCCAAUUUGGGAACAGUGGUUACUUGCCAAAUUCACAUUUACGGCCAAAACUGUGGCUGCAGUGUCGACAUUCAUGCAAGUGGGGAAAUGGGCAUGUGGCCCCUGAAAAAAGAUUCUGGAUUCCAUAAUCUCACCUUGCUGGCAAGAAACUACCGUUUCAGCAGAAAGUGCAAUGACAGUGUCUGCACAGGGACUGGAGAUUAUCUCUAGAAAAGAGCUUGGAGUGAGGAAAUUAGUUAAUGUGGAUGAAUGACGUUACCCAUGGAGAAUGAAGUAAGUAGCUAGAAGACAAAAGCCUCAGAACACAUAAAUCUCAACGGGUACUGAGUAGAGGACUCGGAGCUCUGAGGUAACUGGAGCUCAUGGCUAUCCUAGAACUUGGAUAACAUAAAGUUCUUGUUUCUACAAAGUGUGUAUCCUUUCCAUAUGUGAGAACUCUGAGGAAAUACAAACUUGGAACAAAAGAAAUAGUAAGGUAAUCUUAGAAAGAUGUUGAAUAGAAAGCAAGCUACGGUGACAUCUUAACUGUUUCACUGCCCAGCAAUCUAUACGUAUUGUCACUUGGGGACACUUAUGAUUCCACAUGAAGUGGAUAACCAGCUCAUAGUUCUUGUGGUACCGAAAACCAAGUAUUUGGCCGGGCAUGGUGUGGUGUACUCGUAAUCUCAGCUCCUUGGGAGGCUGAGGUAGGAGAAUCACUUGAACCUGGGAGGCCCAAGUUGCAGUGAGCCAAGAUUGCACCACUGCACUCCAGCCUGGGUGACAGAAUGAGACUCCGUUCCAACGCGAAGUCUCUUAAGACCAAGGAGAGCAGACAUUCUGAUGUUUCCCACAUUGACAGCACUCAUAAGGCCUUUCUCCAGUAUGAACUCUCCUGUGUUUAACGAGAUGGGAUGCUUCAGCAAAGGAUUUCCCAUAUUCACUGUACUCAUAAGGCCUUUCUCCUGUGGGAACUCUGAUGAUGAAGGAGGGUAGAGCUUCGCUGAAAUGUUUUUCCACAUUUGGUGCAUUCAUAAGGCCUUUCUCCAGUAUGAAUUCUCCUGUGUUUAAUGAGACUGGAACAUCAGCAAAGGAUUUUCCACAUUCACUGCACUUGUAAGGCUUUUGUCCAGAAUGAACUCUUUUAUGAACAUGAAGCGCAGAGCUGGAAAGAAAUGAUUUACCACAUUCACUGCAUUCAUACGGCCUUUCUCCAGUGUGAAUCCUCUGAUGUAUAGUCACGCAGUUCUUAUUACCAAAUAAUUUCCCACAUACCUCACACGCAUAUGGCCUUUCUCCAGUGUGAACUCUCUCAUGAACGAGAAGAUGAUACUUCCUGUUAAAUAAUUUCCCACAUUCCCUACAAUUGUAAGGUCUUUCCCCAGUGUGAAGUCUCUGGUGUUCAGUGAGGUGGGAUCUGUACCUAAAUGAUUUCCCACAUUCCCUGCACUCAUAGGGCCUUUCUCCAGUGUGACCUCGCUGAUGUUGAACGAGGUUGCCCUUUUGACCAAAAGAUUUUCCACAUUCUCCACACUUGUAAGGCCUUUCUCCAGUGUGAACACGCUGAUGGUUAAUAAAGCAGAACUUCUGACGAAAAGAUUUCCCACAUUCCCCACAGUGAUAAGCUCUCUCUCCAGUGUGACCUCGCUGAUGUUGAAUGAGGUUACCCUUUUGACCAAAAGAUUUCCCAUAUUCUCUACACUCAUAAGGCCCUUCUCCAGUGUGAACACGCUGAUGGCUAAUAAGGCUGCCCUUCUGACUAAAAGAUUUCCCACACUCCCCACAGGGAUAAGCUGUCUUUCCAGUGUGGACUCGCUGAUGUUGAAUAAGGCUGCCCUUAUGACUAAAAGAUUUCCCACAUUCUCCACAUUCAUAAGGUCUUUUCCCAGUGUGAACUCUCUGAUGAUUACUGACACUAUCAUAUUUGCUAAAGGAUUUCCCACAUUCCCAGCAAUAACAUUCCUCUCUAGAGGGAAGUCUCUGCUGUUGAACAAAUACGUGUUUGGUGCUAGAAUGUUUCAUGCAUUCUCCACAGCUGUAAUGAGUAUCUCCCCGCUGAAAGGGAGACUCACACUCAGGUUUGCUGUUUGACUUCUCCCCAGUGUG